UUUUGCAAAAGUAACAACAGGGAAAAAUAAUUUGAGCUGGCAGUAAAGAAGACUUGUAUCUUUUCCACGAAAUAUCUUCGCAAUAAAUUUUCCACCUUCUCUAAGUACAUGUGUGACAAUAGUCAAACCCGCUAGUAUGAGUUGAGACUGAACAAACUCAUCCAUAUCAUGAAGACCAGUGACAUCAGGUGCACCAUCACAUACAACCAGGUCAGCUUUGCAGCCAUCAAAAUGUCUAAUGACCACUUCAGCUGUCCGGGCAUUGGUGAUGUCACCCUGUACUUGAAUAACACCUUCAAUUGGAGCCAUGGGUUGCAAGUCAAUAGCCACAAUAAGAGGAAGAUCAUCAUCCCUUGAAUCUUGUGAAAGCUUUGCCGGCAUAUAUAAUUUACGGCUCAAAACCUGACUCCAGCUACCGGGUGCAGCGCACAAAUCUACCACACGCUUAACCCCUUCAAAUAUGUUGAAUUCCUCAUCUAUCUGAAGAAGCUUAAAGGCACUUCGAGCACGCCAACCUUCUUCUUUAGCUUUUCGAUAGUAGAUAUCCCUCUUAUCCCUCGAUGCUUUUCCCAUGUUUUAAAAUUCACUACUCUUGCUUUGGUUUUGGUCAGAGGGUGAAUAUGCACUUCUUCUCAAGUGUUUUGAUCUGGUUAAACGAACGCUUCUAACGAACAAGGAGCAAAGGUAAAAGAAUCAGAAUAGAAUCCUGUAGCACGCGCGGCGACGACGUUUGAGCUAUUUUCUAGUUGGCG
This 752-nucleotide unclassified non-coding RNA is filed under the name Hevea brasiliensis (rubber tree). Lineage: Eukaryota; Viridiplantae; Streptophyta; Magnoliopsida; Malpighiales; Euphorbiaceae. The record is from RNAcentral.